Molecule: non-coding RNA, 371 nt
Organism: Sturnus vulgaris (Common starling)
Lineage: Eukaryota; Metazoa; Chordata; Aves; Passeriformes; Sturnidae
Source: RefSeq, a predicted model, not a curated record
UUGAAAGGAACAGCUUCUCCAUUCUCUGCAAGUGUUUUCAGGAUCAAGCCAUCUCUUGAGCACCUGGCAAAGCAAAAAUGUGAGAAGCAAAACCCACACUCAGGUGAGAAAGGACAGAGGACAAGCGGCAGAGGAGAAGCUCCAGACAGCAAGCAUCCCAACUAUGAGAGCCUGUCAAAAAUUUCUCAGCACCACGCUUGCCCAUGCACUUCUUGUUGCUACCUGUGAGCAGAUCACUUCUGCACACACUUAGUGGGUUUUUGACCUCAUUAGAAGGGCUUUAAUUACCAUGUGCUUUGUACAGGUUAUAUACAUCUAAAAUAUCUGUGGUGCUGAAGACAUUCAACAUGCAAAAGCAAGGCAGUGUGUCA